UAGACAGCAAAUUCACUAAUAUAUCAUCACCCGCAUACGACGCCGCCGCCUCUUGUGCCAUUGUAAAGCCCUAAUGGUUCCAUCCUCCGCCGUGGUCUCGCCGAAACCAUCGAUCCCCGAAGGAGAUGAUGAGGAUUACGAGAUCGUGUACGAGGAAAUCGAAGAGGAAAUAGAGAUUGAAGUCGAGGAAGAGGUAGAGGAAGAAGACGAUGUCGGAGCCGAUCAUGUCGAAAAUGGAGGGGAUGUUGAAAUUGGAGAGGAUCUAACUGCUUCGAGCCUAAAAAAUCUGGAAACUGAUACUGGUAAGAUUCUAGAGCUUGAUGAGCAGAAAGACCAUAGACAAUCAAGUUCCUUUACUGAAGAAUUUUUGGUUUCAAAAAUUGGAGAUGUGAAACCUUUUGAGUCACGUGAAAAAGAAGAAUUAUAUGGCAAUGGGGGAGAAAUCUCUAAAUACAAUCAGGAAAAGAUACCUUUGAAUGACAGUGGAGAAGUAAAUCAUGCCAAAACCUCUCCUUCCAUUGGAGAUGUUAAUGUCACAUCCACAAUGGAUAAUACUUCUGGGGAGAAUGAUAGUGCUAUUGCAUCAAUCAUGGAAAAAACCAACCAGUCUGCUUUAGAAGGUGUUGGCAACAUAUCACCCAGGUUGCAUGCUGCAAAAAUAAGGUUUAGGGAUCCUUCACCUAGUGCUGAAAUUGAUCGUGAGAGCAAAAAAAUAAGGAUGGUGUGUGAAUUUCAUGCCAAAGGAUGGUGCAUCAGAGGAAAGUCUUGUAGGUUCCUUCACACAAAGGACGCACCAGAUGCAGUGAUGAUAAAAAGCGAAGCCUUGGGGAGGGAAGCAGCAUCUUCUAGGGCAUUUAUUCCACCCCUACAAAGUGGGGACACAAAUUUAAGUAGUGAGACAGAAAAACUGGCUCUUCCUGAAGAUGGUAACUAUCCGGGUGCUCCUGCACGGGAAGAUAGGAGUGUCAGGCACAACUUAUAUCUGGAUAAUUUCCAGAACUAUGGCGGUCCUCCUGUCCAAGGAAUUUUAAAUGCUAGAGAUGGUCUGGAGCAUCAUGCUUACAUAUCCUCUUCCAUGCAACAAAGUAUUCCGCAAGCUUUUCGUUCUGAAUCAGAUUCUCUGUUGCGUGAUGGUAGCUUCAGGGAACCCAAGCCACCCAAGUUGGAAGCUACUUUCUCUUCUUUUGAUUGGCAGCUAUCUGCUCCUUUCUGCCCAUCUCAUGAGAUUACUCGAAGCAUAUUGCUGAAAGAAUGUGGCUAUAACAGCGCUGAUCAGAAAUAUGUUAUGGAUAUCCAGGCAAUAUUUUCACAUUCUGACCAGGGAUCAUCUGAUAAGAAUGUAGCUGUUCAGUCAAGCAGUCCUCAAGGGGAGGCAAAACUUUUGAAUGAUGUUCUUGCCGGUGAUAAUGGGAAGGAAAAUAUAUUGAGCUCUAGCAAUGAUGAUGAAGUGAAACUCAAUAAGACAGUGGAUGGAACAAUAUCUGAAGUUGGCGGAUCAGGCACAAAAUAUGAUAUUGAAGCUGACUUUAGGCAAGAUGAUCAUGUGCAAAGUGAUACGAAGGCUUUCAAAUAUUUCCAAUCUGCACUAAUAGAAUCUGUGAAAGAAUUAGUGAAACCAUCUUGGCGGGAAGGCUUUCUAAGCAAAGAUGCCCAUAAGUUGAUUGUUAAGAAGGCUGCCAACAAGGUUCUUAGUUCUUUGCCAGCCCACCAAAUUCCUAGCACAGAAGAAUCUGUCCAGUCAUAUCUUUCUUUAUCUCAGCCCAAACUUGCAAAGCUAGUUGAGGGAUACCUCAAUAUUUAUGGCAAAAUGUGAGACUGUUGAAUGAUUAUGCUUGUGCUGGACUCUCCGCAAAAGGAAAAUUUGAUCCCUUCAUGGUGGGCCCUUUAUGCUUCUUCCUUUUAUCAAAACAAAAAGCUUCAUCUUUAAGAUAUCUAAUUUAUUGGUGAAACUUCAGAAACCUUUAUCAGGUUCAAGAGAUAUCUAUAGUGGACUUUGUAGAGGGUCAUCAGGAUGCUACACCCCGUGCAUGUGCAAUCAAGAUAGGCAGAAACUCGUCCAGAUUUUCUCAUUAAAGACACUCAUGAAGGUGCAUGGCAAUCAAAUGUGAAGUCUAAAAAAUGCAUGCGCACCAGGUAGAGCGUCUGCAACCCUUCUUUGAGAAUCAGGUGCUUCUGUUGGCGUGGUUAGAAUGAAGCAAAGAAGUCUCUCAUGGGCCCUUCCAGUUUCAUUUAUAUCUGUUAAUGUCUUAUUGCCAUGGGAUCACUGAGUAGGAGUUAAUAGUAGAAAAAAAGGUUCCUUCUUGAGAAGGUUAUAUUCUGGAAAUUUGGUGAUCUUUUCUUAUCUGGAUAUGCUGCAACAAAUCAGCAGACAAGCCAUUAGCAAUUGCAAGCUCAGCUGAUAGAAGUGAUGAGCUGUGGAAAGUGAAGUCUGUUAUUGUAUACUUUCCUCACUGCAACUUGUGUUGUUUGAUGCUUUGGGUUGGUUGACUGGAACGACAAUCUCUGCAAGGGGUGGCAAAUGAUGAGAACAACUUUUGACUGAAACUUUUGUCUCCUGCUGAGUGCUUCUCCUUUGCUCUCCUUUUGGCUUGGGAAACUUGCUUCCUGCUGCUACUUUGGUGAUUUGGCUGCUUCACAUCCGACUCUCUCCUGUUCCGAGGAAUUUGUAGGAAACUUUCCAAAGGUGAACAGUUGUUUGGGCUCACAUUCAUCGAGCCAGCAUUGGAGCGGCUGAAUUCGAACUCCUGGUCUUCCUUGUUUUCUUUCGAGCUGAUGAGGCCUGCGAAGGAAAGUGACUCGCUCGAGGCGAAAUCUGCCGCAACAUCUGGGAACAUUUUCUUUGGCAUGGUGAACUACUGGACUUGUGUUGACAGAUAGUUGCUGAAAGAAAAGAAAAGUAUUGAAUGAAGUAUUUGUUGAUGCAUACGAGGUUGGAUGUGGGAGACUCCGAAACAAGCUUGAAACCGACUCCAAAUGUUGGUGCUACUGCUUAAACUCAUCUAGUGUCACUUUCAAAUGGAGUUCGUUAAGGUGAAUUUUCCAAUGUUAUCUGCAUCCUAGCCGGCCUUUGUGAAAUUUCUUGUUCAAACUUUAACUGUUGUUAUCAAAUUUUGCAAACCAAAUGUGCAGAAUGAUUUGGUUUUUGAAUAUGAUGAAUAAUGGUUCUUCAUUUCAA
This is an RNA transcript of Salvia hispanica, 3175 nucleotides long. It is a transcript of the gene named protein FRIGIDA-ESSENTIAL 1-like, with no coding region annotated. The record is from RefSeq and is a predicted model, not a curated record. NCBI's taxonomy places the organism in Eukaryota, Viridiplantae, Streptophyta, Magnoliopsida, Lamiales, Lamiaceae.